RNAcentral lists this long non-coding RNA (286 nucleotides) under Marmota monax (woodchuck). The record is from RNAcentral. Lineage: Eukaryota; Metazoa; Chordata; Mammalia; Rodentia; Sciuridae.
GCAGGAUUUGACAUGCCAUCAUAGGCUCUCUAACAUAACUAGACUUCCUCACACCCCUGGUAAUAGAAUUGUUUAGCUUUAUCUCAAGAAGCCUGGGAAAGCACAUGUAACAUGCCCAGAUAUACUUAGAGGGGUUGAUCCCACAAGCUUUUAAGGGAUUGUCUAAAACGAAAAAGCACCUGAGCAAAUUCUAUGGUGGUUCCAUGUGUGCUGAAUGCGUGACAGGCUCAGGCCUGGUUUCCCUGACUAGGAACAGAAAAUUGUCAAGUGCCAAACGCACCAGCAG